This 1430-nucleotide ribosomal RNA is filed under the name uncultured bacterium. RNAcentral describes it as "bacterial SSU rRNA". It matches the Rfam family "Bacterial small subunit ribosomal RNA". The record is from RNAcentral.
AGAGUUUGAUCCUGGCUCAGGACGAACGCUGGCGGCGUGCCUAAUACAUGCAAGACGAGCGAGCUUGCCUAGAUGAUUUUAGUGCUUGCACUAAAUGAAACUAGAUACAAGCGAGCGGCGGACGGGUGAGUAGCACGUGGGUAACCUGCCCAAGAGACUGGGAUAACACCUGGAAACAGAUGCUAAUACCGGAUAACAACACUAGACGCAUGUCUAGAGUUUGGAAGAUGGUUCUGCUAUCACUCUUGGAUGGACCUGCGGUGCAUUAGCUAGUUGGUAAGGUAACGGCUUACCAAGGCAAUGAUGCAUAGCCGAGUUGAGAGACUGAUCGGCCACAUUGGGACUGAGACACGGCCCAAACUCCUACGGGAGGCAGCAGUAGGGAAUCUUCCACAAUGGACGAAAGUCUGAUGGAGCAACGCCGCGUGAGUGAAGAAGGGUUUCGGCUCGUAAAGCUCUGUUGGUAGUGAAGAAAGAUAGAGGUAGUAACUGGCCUUUAUUUGACGGUAAUUACUUAGAAAGUCACGGCUAACUACGUGCCAGCAGCCGCGGUAAUACGUAGGUGGCAAGCGUUGUCCGGAUUUAUUGGGCGUAAAGCGAGUGCAGGCGGUUCAAUAAGUCUGAUGUGAAAGCCUUCGGCUCAACCGGAGAAUUGCAUCAGAAACUGUUGAACUUGAGUGCAGAAGAGGAGAGUGGAACUCCAUGUGUAGCGGUGGAAUGCGUAGAUAUAUGGAAGAACACCAGUGGCGAAGGCGGCUCUCUGGUCUGCAACUGACGCUGAGGCUCGAAAGCAUGGGUAGCGAACAGGAUUAGAUACCCUGGUAGUCCAUGCCGUAAACGAUGAGUGCUAAGUGUUGGGAGGUUUCCGCCUCUCAGUGCUGCAGCUAACGCAUUAAGCACUCCGCCUGGGGAGUACGACCGCAAGGUUGAAACUCAAAGGAAUUGACGGGGGCCCGCACAAGCGGUGGAGCAUGUGGUUUAAUUCGAAGCAACGCGAAGAACCUUACCAGGUCUUGACAUCCAGUGCAAACCUAAGAGAUUAGGUGUUCCCUUCGGGGACGCUGAGACAGGUGGUGCAUGGCUGUCGUCAGCUCGUGUCGUGAGAUGUUGGGUUAAGUCCCGCAACGAGCGCAACCCCUAUUUCCAGUAGCCAGCAGUAAGAUGGGAACUCUGGAGAGACUGCCGGGGACAACCCGGAGGAAGGUGGGGACGACGUCAAAUCAUCAUGCCCCUUAUGGGCUGGGCUACACACGUGCUACAAUGGUGCCAACAGAGUGAGGCGACCCCGCGAGGGCAGGCAAAUCACAAAAAUGGCAUCCCAGUUCGGAUUGCAGUCUGCAACUCGACUGCAUGAAGCUGGAAUCGCUAGUAAUCGCGAAUCAGAAUGUCGCGGUGAAUACGUUCCCGGGUCUUGCACUCACCGCCCGUCA